AUGUCCUCUGUAUUCUUCAUUGUAACCUUGGGCCGUGAAACCCCCUCUCAGCUGGGCCCCAGUUCUGCAGGCCUGUGCCUGCUUGGCCUGUUAUUACUCCAUGAAUCAUUGCUGGCCUUAUUAAACUAUUUUGGGCUGCAGGCUUUCCAUUCUCCUCCCGUGAACCGUGAAGAUUGGAGCUGCUGCAGCAGCAUAGGCCCAGCGUGGAAUCUGAAUGUGAAGGAAAGAAGUUUCACUGGUUUGGAAUAUAGCAUUCUACCUCAGAGAACAACCAAGUCUAGACAUGAAACUGUAAGCAAAGAAUAACUGUUAUUUACUGGCUGUUGUGAGCCUAAUUUAUAACCAAGAAGUGGUGCCUGUGCAUGUUAAGCUACUAUCCACAUGAUGGAUAAACCUUUAAAGGUAAGAGUUCAAAUAAUUUCACGGACUCAGGAUAAUUUAGUUUUAAGGCUAGACAGGAUUGUCAGGCUGAAGGAAUAUCGUUAAUGUCACCUCAAGGAAGACAUUCC
This 509-nucleotide long non-coding RNA is filed under the name Canis lupus familiaris (dog). RNAcentral's name for it is "lncRNA (ENSCAFG00000058492.1)". The record is from RNAcentral. Lineage: Eukaryota; Metazoa; Chordata; Mammalia; Carnivora; Canidae.